Long non-coding RNA from Dermochelys coriacea (leatherback sea turtle), 1216 nucleotides. RefSeq lists it as uncharacterized. The transcript is spliced from 4 exons. The record is from RefSeq and is a predicted model, not a curated record. NCBI's taxonomy places the organism in Eukaryota, Metazoa, Chordata, Testudines, Dermochelyidae.
CUUGGGGGUGCAAGAGUCUGCAUAAACUGGGAUUUUUGAUUAGGUAGCAGUGUGUGCUCACUCCCAUCACUCAAAUGUGUCUUGAGUUUUAAAUGUCAUGGGUCUACUUCUUUGGGACAUGGGCUAUUAAUAGCAACUAGCUCCACAGGCAUAAAUAUUUUCAUUAAAACCACUUUUUACAUUCACAAACUGAAAGUGAUUACAGGUGAGGAAUGCCAUUAUGACCGGCUGCAGUUCUAGCUCAUCCAACUCAGAUGUGGUGGAAGAAUGGUCCUAUGGUGAAGGCAGUAGAGUAUGAGUUGAGAGUUCUGUGUUCAGUUCUGUGUUCUGCCAUUGACUUCCUGGAUGAUGUUGGCUCUUGGGGACAGGUCCUUUUUGGGAUUCCCUCUGAGACCUUUCCACUUGACUGAUCCAGAACACCUUGAAAAGCUCUGGAAGAACAGUUCGUCCAGUUGUCUGGGACCAAAAAACACAGUUUGACUUCAGCUCUUUACUCAGGUCUACAGAGGCAUUUGGAGGAGGAGGAGAGAAGGUUUUUGGAGAAGACGAGGGAACCUGUUCCAGCUCUGGGGAUCUGCAUGCUGGAGGAAAGAAAGACAAGAAUGGGAGAACGAAGAGCAAAGAGAUGGAGAGAGAAUUGGAAAGAGUAUAAGGAGGAAAUGAGAGCAGAUACGGUCUUCAAGAUGCAGAUGACAAGGUGGAAUUUGAUCUAGUAAGAGUAGUAGUGCUUUAUUUCAUUCUUCCCGGUUUACCCCUUUUUCCUGGUACUAACUAAGAUUCUAAACAAGAUAGGACCUUGACAGUGAUCCCUGGCAAUCUAGGAUUUGGGAAUGAGUCCAUCUUUAGUUAAUUCAUUAAUGUUUGUAAAAUGCUUUCAGGUCCUUGGGUGGAAGGUGCUAUGAAGCAAUCUUCAGUGGGGAACAUCUCUUGUGGUUGAAGUUAUUCUAAUGAGCUGUUCAUGACUUCUGUAUAAAACUCUGUCUGUCUUUGAAAGUUUGCUCAGCGGUUAUCACUGUGUCUUCACUCAUUAGUCUCUGAUGGUGUGUGAGAUCUUUAAUAGGCUUCAGACUAACUUCUUAUAUGCUGUAUGAUUUAACUCUACUAUUAGUCUGAGAGUGCCAGUAAAAAAAAAAAUCAAAAUGUUGAAGGCAUGCAAUCAAGCUUCUUCCUGUUCUAUCUAAACACACAUGGCCCUACUCCCUGUAGCAUCUCAAUA